CGCCCAAUAUCGAGCCCAUUAAUGCUAAGGCCGUGAAGCCGUUCCGGACCCUUCGGGGAAAGGAAAGUGGUGGAGCCGCUGACCCAAGGUGGUAGUAGGUAAGCGAU
This 107-nucleotide ribosomal RNA is filed under the name Streptomyces purpureus. RNAcentral describes it as "23S ribosomal RNA". The record is from RNAcentral. Lineage: Bacteria; Bacillati; Actinomycetota; Actinomycetes; Kitasatosporales; Streptomycetaceae.